GGGUCAGUAGGUUGGUCGUGCCACCGGUACGUACUGGUCUCACUGAUUCCUCCUUCCCGAAGAACCGUAAUGCCAUUAAUUUGGUGUUGCGGGGAAACAGGACUGUUACUUUGAAAAAAUUAGAGUGUUUAAAGCAAGCUAACGCUUGAAUACAUUAGCAUGGAAUAAUGAAAUAGGACGUUGAUCCUAUUUUGUUGGUCUCUAGGAUUGACGUA
Molecule: ribosomal RNA, 215 nt
Filed under: Glomeromycotina sp.
Lineage: Eukaryota; Fungi; Glomeromycota
Description: partial small subunit ribosomal RNA
Rfam family: Eukaryotic small subunit ribosomal RNA (bases 75-215)
Source: RNAcentral